GGAGCAGCUUCAGCCCAGACCCCCAGUGCAGGUGCUGCUCCAGCCCUGAAGCAUCCCACAACCAUGGCUGGCAGAUGCCAAGGGGAUGUGUGAGAUGGCCCAGCUCCAGGAUGAAACUCAACUUUAGGGAAGCUGGGGAGAGCCUCACAGCGCUGGACAAGCCAUCAGAUGGCACUGCCCCCAGGGACACACCCGGGGGCGUGGACAGGGAUAUGGAGGACCUAAGGCAAAGGGUGGCUUCAAACGUGACAGCAGAUCAGCCGCUGGGGAAAUACCAGAGGGGAUUUGACAGCUGGGCCAGGUGUUCCAGGACAGCACUUUCCAAAAGAUUUUCCAUCCAAACUUCCAGCAAGAAGUAGAUCUUCCAUCGUUAUCCAGAGCAUAUCUACGCAUUCAGAUGAAGAAAACAACACUGACAUGCAUUAUCUCCCAACACCAACCUCAACCCAGCCCUGGAGUGUGAGCAGAGCCAGCAGCAUUUCCAGCCCCGCCUCUGGAGGAAGGAGAGGAACCUGAGACUCUUGGGUGACCUGAGGCGUCUCUGGCAGCACCAGCAAAAGAGCCUGGCCCUGGCCGCCCAGCACAGGUGCUCAGUCCCUCCUGACUGCCACUGCUCCCUCAACACCAAAGCACAGGGUCGCGAGAUGUUGGGAGAGGGUCGGGGAUGCUGGGCUGGGAGAGGACCGGGGGCCUGUCAGAAGCCAUGACAUGAUGCACUCACCGCUCAGGAGGAAGCUACUGGCCUUUGAGUGAAAUCUAUAAGAAUGAACUCUGGAGAUGUAUCGUACAACAUGGAGUCUACAGUUAAAAACUGUAUUGUAUACUGGAAAAUUGCUAAGAUUAGAUCUUCCAUGUUCUCACUACAAAAGCAUAAGUAUGUGAGAUGACGGACGUGUGUGUCAGCUUGAUUUAAUCAUUUUGCAGUGUGGCAAAGCAUCGCACUGUAGGUGGUAAAUAUAUAUACAGUUUUGUCAAUUAUACCUUCAGGAAGCUGGGGUGGUUGGUGUGUGUGUGUGUGUCUGUGUGAUGUGAGGUCAGUGAGGUGCUGAACAUGGUGCAUUAAACAGCAUUUUCAUUCUUA
RNAcentral lists this long non-coding RNA (1081 nucleotides) under Homo sapiens (human). Its description in RNAcentral is "novel transcript". Lineage: Eukaryota; Metazoa; Chordata; Mammalia; Primates; Hominidae. The record is from RNAcentral.